RNAcentral lists this ribosomal RNA (253 nucleotides) under uncultured bacterium. Its description in RNAcentral is "partial 16S ribosomal RNA". It matches the Rfam family "Bacterial small subunit ribosomal RNA", at positions 524 to 776 of the family's 1533-position model. The record is from RNAcentral.
GACGGAGGAUGCAAGCGUUAUCCGGAAUUAUUGGGCGUAAAGCGUCCGCAGGUGGCUGUUCAAGUCUGCUGUCAAAGCGCAGAGCUUAACUCUGUACAGGCGGUGGAAACUGAAGAGCUAGAGUAUGGUAGGGGUAGAGGGAAUUCCCGGUGUAGCGGUGAAAUGCGUAGAUAUCGGGAAGAACACCAGUGGCGAAAGCGCUCUACUGGGCCAUAACUGACACUGAGGGACGAAAGCUAGGGGAGCGAACGGG